AGAGUUUGAUCCUGGCUCAGAACGAACGCUGGCGGCAUGCUUAACACAAGCAAGUCGAACGAGAUCUUCGGAUCUAGUGGCGCACGGGUGAGUAACGCGUGGAAAUCUGCCAUUCUGUACGGAAUAACGUUUGGAAACGAACGCUAAUACCGUAUACGCCCUACGGGGGAAAGGUCCGCCGCAGAAUGAGGAGUCCGCGUCCGAUUAGCUAGUUGGUAGGGUAAUGGCCUACCAAGGCGACGAUCGGUAGCUGGUCUGAGAGGAUGAUCAGCCACACUGGGACUGAGACACGGCCCAGACUCCUACGGGAGGCAGCAGUGGGGAAUAUUGGACAAUGGGGGCAACCCUGAUCCAGCAAUGCCGCGUGUGUGAUGAAGGCCCUAGGGUUGUAAAGCACUUUCAAUGGUGAAGAUGAUGACGGUAACCAUAGAAGAAGCCCCGGCUAACUUCGUGCCAGCAGCCGCGGUAAUAAGGGCGA
Molecule: ribosomal RNA, 478 nt
Filed under: uncultured Alphaproteobacteria bacterium
Lineage: Bacteria; Pseudomonadati; Pseudomonadota; Alphaproteobacteria
Description: bacterial SSU rRNA
Rfam family: Bacterial small subunit ribosomal RNA
Source: RNAcentral